Long non-coding RNA from Papilio machaon (common yellow swallowtail), 411 nucleotides. RefSeq lists it as uncharacterized. Lineage: Eukaryota; Metazoa; Arthropoda; Insecta; Lepidoptera; Papilionidae. The transcript is spliced from 3 exons. The record is from RefSeq and is a predicted model, not a curated record.
UAGAGGAUAUGUGAAAGGAGUUCACUCAGAUAUGAAGGUUGAUGAAGAUAUAUGGAAAUGUAGUACUAUUAAAUACUUUGCUGACCCUACAUUGAGAAAAAGGCAGUGACAUAAGGAUCAAGUUAACAAACAUGUGAAAACUUUUAAGAUUAAAUUUGUAACAUGAUAUCAAAAGAACACUAUGACUUGGAUCCUGGGUCUUAUAAACUAUACAUUUAAUUUCAUCUUACUUGAAUUUUAUUAACUGCAUCUUUUGUAAAGAUGCAAAUGUAACACAAGCUAGAGAUAAUUGACUAUUGAGUCUGUUAUUAGCCGAGGCAGGGACAAGAAAACAAUGCACAAUCUCUUUAAGUGGGAAAUAAUCAUCUCCUAAUGAUGACUAUAGUUAUGAAAUUGACUAAAACAACUGGU